AACAGUCUCAGUUCAGAUUGUAGGCUGAAACUCGCCUGUAUGAAGUCGGAAUUGCUAGUAAUCGCGGAUCAGCAUGCCGCGGUGAAUACGUUCCCGGGCCUUGUACACACCGCCCGUCACACCAUGAGAGUCGAUAACACCCGAAGCCUGUAGUCUAACAGCAAUGAGGACGCAGUCGAAGGUGGGAUUGAUAAUUAGGGUGAAGUCGUAACAAGGUAAC
RNAcentral lists this ribosomal RNA (220 nucleotides) under uncultured bacterium. RNAcentral's name for it is "partial 16S ribosomal RNA". It matches the Rfam family "Bacterial small subunit ribosomal RNA", at positions 1281 to 1500 of the family's 1533-position model. The record is from RNAcentral.